This 820-nucleotide long non-coding RNA is filed under the name Vulpes vulpes (red fox). RNAcentral describes it as "lncRNA (ENSVVUG00000010267.1)". Lineage: Eukaryota; Metazoa; Chordata; Mammalia; Carnivora; Canidae. The record is from RNAcentral.
GGGACAUUGACGCAUUUUGCUAACAAUGAUAUAAGAUACACAUAACCUAUGUAGGUUCAAGGAAGAAGAAACAGAAUUAACUGCAGUAUGUGGUCAUCAGUGCCAAACACUAUUCUAUGCAGCCUUUGAUCUUUAUCAAAAAUAAGGUGAUUAAACAAAUUACUAAAGAUAAAACGAUUAAAAUGGACAGACUGGCCAUUCUGAAAGCCAUUCAUUCCCUGCAGGCUGGUGCCACAUGAAUACAUAAAAUGCUUUUUUUUUUCUAGGACCAAAAAGCACUUGCAGGAUUUGUUGCGAGUUUCAACUCUUUCACCCCAAGUUCCAUGCCCAUCUUUCUUAUUGGGUGAAUGGGAGCCUACUCUCCUCAGACUUUAAAGUGGGAGCAGAGCUGCGUCAUUCAGAGUGUGAAUUUCUACACACGGCCCAGGUGUGCUUGCCAGCGGGCAGGACCUCCCACAGCACCAUACACAGAAUGGGCACCCAGUGCAUUGUGAUACCAAAAGAAAUUUGCCAGAAUAUUCCACACUCAUCAAUAAAGCGGAAGGCCCUGGAAGUGUUGACAACAUCUAGAUGAUGGACAGAAUGCAGUGGAGUCUGUUUCUGGCAGUCUGGAGCGUGAGACCAGUACGUGGAACCCCAUUCCAGACGCGUAUGUCACAAAACUACAUCCAGGACCAUGGCGUCGUCUCAGAGACAACUAAGGCAGAAAGUGUGGCUAACUCACCACAGACCGGACCCUGCCGCCGCCAAAGUGAAUUCAGAGGGCCUGCUCCACAGCUGUUCAUGCCCACAGUGGUCACCACCACACACCCUUGAACCC